GACGAACGCUGGCGGCGUGCCUAAUACAUGCAAGUAGAACGCUGAAGGAGGAGCUUGCUUCUCUGGAUGAGUUGCGAACGGGUGAGUAACGCGUAGGUAACCUGCCUGGUAGCGGGGGAUAACUAUUGGAAACGAUAGCUAAUACCGCAUAAGAGUAGAUGUCGCAUGACAUUUGCUUAAAAGGUGCAAUUGCAUCACUACCAGAUGGACCUGCGUUGUAUUAGCUAGUUGGUGAGGUAACGGCUCACCAAGGCAACGAUACAUAGCCGACCUGAGAGGGUGAACGGCCACACUGGGACUGAGACACGGCCCAGACUCCUACGGGAGGCAGCAGUAGGGAAUUUUCGGCAAUGGACGGAAGUCUGACCGAGCAACGCCGCGGGAGUGAAGAAGGUUUUCGGAUCGUAAAGCUCUGUUGUAAGAGAAGAACGAGUGUGAGAGUGGAAAGUUCACACUGUGACGGUAUCUUACCAGAAAGGGACGGCUAACUACGUG
This 495-nucleotide ribosomal RNA is filed under the name uncultured bacterium. RNAcentral describes it as "partial 16S ribosomal RNA". It matches the Rfam family "Bacterial small subunit ribosomal RNA", at positions 28 to 507 of the family's 1533-position model. The record is from RNAcentral.